CGUAGGGUGCGAGCGUUAAUCGGAAUUACUGGGCGUAAAGCGUGCGCAGGCGGUUUUGUAAGACAGAUGUGAAAUCCCCGGGCUCAACCUGGGACCUGCAUUUGUGACUGCAAGGCUAGAGUACGGUAGAGGGGGAUGGAAUUCCGCGUGUAGCAGUGAAAUGCGUAGAUAUGCGGAGGAACACCGAUGGCGAAGGCAAUCCCCUGGACCUGUACUGACGCUCAUGCACGAAAGCGUGGGGAGCAAACAGGAUUAGAUACCCUGGUAGUCCACGCCUAAACGAUGUCAACUGGUUGUUGGGUCUUUACUGACUCAGUAACGAAGCUAACGCGUGAAGUUGACCGCCUGGGGAGUACGGCCGCAAGGUUG
This 369-nucleotide ribosomal RNA is filed under the name uncultured organism. Its description in RNAcentral is "bacterial SSU rRNA". It matches the Rfam family "Bacterial small subunit ribosomal RNA", at positions 526 to 896 of the family's 1533-position model. The record is from RNAcentral.